This 1191-nucleotide small RNA is filed under the name uncultured bacterium. Its description in RNAcentral is "bacterial SSU rRNA". The stretch from base 1 to 488 matches the Rfam family "Bacterial small subunit ribosomal RNA", at positions 1045 to 1533 of the family's 1533-position model. The record is from RNAcentral.
AUGGCUGUCGUCAGCUCGUGUCGUGAGAUGUUGGGUUAAGUCCCGUAACGAGCGCAACCCCUAUCCUUAUUUGCCAGCACGUCAUGGUGGGAACUAUAAGGAGACUGCCGGUGAUAAACCGGAGGAAGGCGGGGACGACGUCAAGUCAUCAUGGCCCUUACGACCAGGGCUACACACGUGCUACAAUGGGAAGGACAAAGAGCCGCGAAGCCGCGAGGUGUAGCUAAUCUCAGAAACCUUUUCGUAGUCCGGAUUGGAGUCUGCAACUCGACUCCAUGAAGUCGGAAUCGCUAGUAAUCGUAGAUCAGAAUGCUACGGUGAAUACGUUCCCGGGUCUUGUACACACCGCCCGUCAUACCAUGGGAGUGGGUUGCACCAGAAGUGGCUAGUCUAACUUAGUGAGGACGGUCACCACGGUGUGAUUCAUGACUGGGGUAAAGUCGUAACAAGGUAGCCCUACCGGAAGGUGGGGCUGGAUCACCUCCUUAAGAAAAGUACGAGUGUUCACACAAGUUGUUUGAUAAUAUUAAAGUAAGAGAAAAAAGACCAAUAACCCAAAUUCAAUGUAAUUGAUAUUAAGGGUCUGUAGCUCAGUUGGUUAGAGCGCACCCCUGAUAAGGGUGAGGUCGGUGGUUCAAAUCCACCCAGACCCACCAUUUUUCUGGGUUAUUAGUUUUCUAUUGGGGCUAUAGCUCAGCUGGGAGAGCGCCUGGUUUGCAUCCAGGAGGUCAGCAGUUCGAUCCUGCUUAGCUCCACCAUUUUCUCUAGUGAAAACUUAAAUAAGACUUACAAGUAAGUCUUAUUUAAGUUUUUAUACCAAGCCUUGGUAAUAACCUUGGUUCGGAGCUCUUUAACAAUUUGGAUAUGAAGUAAAGUUUGUUAAAUACAAUACAACGUAAGGUGUAUUGCAUUGACACAACAAUUUCAAAAAAUAUGGAUUCUCAUUGAUAGAUUUAUUUCUAUCAGUGAUAAAAAAGAAUUCACCGAUUGUAUCGCAAGAUACAGUUAGUGACUUCUCGGUGUAAUAAGAACCAUUAACCCAGAUACUUUGGGGUUAUAUGGUCAAGUGAAUAAGUGCAUACGACGGAUGCCUUGGCAGUAGAAGGCGAUGAAGGACGUGAUAAUCUGCGAUAAGCUUCGGUUAGCUGAUAAUAAGCUUUAACCCGGAGAUCUCCGAAUGGGGAAACCCGG